RNAcentral lists this ribosomal RNA (497 nucleotides) under uncultured bacterium. RNAcentral describes it as "partial 16S ribosomal RNA". It matches the Rfam family "Bacterial small subunit ribosomal RNA", at positions 28 to 507 of the family's 1533-position model. The record is from RNAcentral.
GAUGAACGCUGGCGGCGGGCCUAAUACAUGCAAGUCGAGCGAACAGACGAUGAGCUUGCUCCUUUGACGUUAGCGGCGGACGGGUGAGUAACACGUAGGUAACCUACUUAUAAUACUGGGAUAACUUCGUGAAACCGGAGCUAAUACUGGCUAAUAUUUCGUACCGCAUGGUUCGAUAGUGAAAGAUGGCUUUGCUAUCACUUAUAGAUGGACCUGCGCCGUAUUAGCUAGUUGGUAAGGUAACGGCUUACCAAGGCAACGAUACGUAGCCGACCUGAGAGGGUGAUCAGCCACACUGGAACUGAGACACGGUCCAGACUCCUACGGGAGGCAGCAGUAGGGAAUCUUCCGCAAUGGGCGAAAGCCUGACGGAGCAACGCCGCGUGAGUGAUGAAGGUCUUCGGAUCGUAAAACUCUGUUAUUAGGGAAGAACAAACGUGGAAGUAACUGUGCACGUCUUGACGGUACCUAAUCAGAAAGCCACGGCUAACUACGUG